CAAUAAUACAUAUGACUGCUGUGUGUAUAUAUAAAUAUCUACAGUCAAAAGAAUCUUGGGGAAAAAUGCUUCAUCUCCUUUUGAUGAGAGUAAAUAUUGGAAGAAUAUAUUAUUUAUCCAAAGCGAUGCUUAUACUUUCUAAAAAAAUUAUGUUAUUAUAUUUGCAUUUGUACUGGCAUAAGAACUGGUAUAUAUUUUUGUCUCCCCAAGGUUGAGGAGGAGUUGGGCAAGGAAUCAUAAAAUGGAAAAAUAUUUCUCUAGAUCAGCAGGCUGUUUAUGGAUGAUGUUAACAGCAUGAAUCCAAGUUUUGUUUGUUUCAAGUACAUGUUUAACUAACACUUUAUUCUCAUCUGUUUUGAGCCAUUUUUAUACUGCACAAGGAACCCACAAAACUCUUCAAAUAUGCCACACAGUCCCCAUUGGUGGUGCUUCACUGAUUUUGGCCUAAGGCUAACAUCGGCUCCUCCUUUCUGCAUGCUCCCACUAACGACUUAGCAUUCUUGACCCUCUGUAUUGCCUGCAUCCUUCCCUGCUGCCUUGUCAGGAUGAUUAGCUCCUAGAAGUAAGAGGCUGUCUCCUGUUCAGCAUUGUUUCUUUACCAUCCAACAUACAUACUUUAAAUUAAGUGAGUGCUCCAUAAAUAAAGUCAAUAGUACCACAUGUCUUAUGUUGAAUAAGUAGCCUUAUUGGAGGUCUUCUUUUGAAAAACCCUGUGUUGUAGUUGCUACGGCUGCCAUAACAAAGGACCAUAGAAAAUAAAUAAAGAAUUUAUUUUCUCACAGUUUCAGAGGCUGGAAGUCCAAGAUCAAAUUGUUGGCAGUGUUGUUUCUUCUGAGACCUCUUUCAUUUGCUGGCAGAUGGCCAUCUUCACUGUGUCCUCAUAUGGUCUUUCUUCUGUGUGUGUGCACUCCAGGCUGUCUGUGUGUUCAGUUUUCUCUUCUUAUAAGGACACUAGUCAGCAGGGCUGGAUUUCAGACUUGCACAGGGCCUGUAGAUACAUAUAUCUAUCUUCAGUCUAAGUUGGUUAGCUCCUGCUCUCCUUGCAACCCUCAGAUGACAACUGACUUUGUCAAGGAGGCGUCUCUGACCUUUAUAACAAAUCAGUUUUGAUUCAAACUUGUGAUAACACUGGAUAAUGAGCCUCUCUUGUGAACAAUUAUCAAAGGUAUGAUUUCACAUUUGUUCAUGUGGUUCUUUGAUUAAAAUCCACAACCUUUAUGUAAUUGCCCAGUGGGUUCUUUUUGCUUGCUGCACAGAUAAAACCAAUUCACUGAGACAGUGAUAUUACAGUAGAGAAAGAGUUUAAUAAACACAGAGCUGGCCAGAGAGAAGAACAAGAGUUUAUUACUCAAAUCAGCUUCCUCUAGAACUUAGAGGCUAGGGUUUUUGUGAAUGUAAUUUGGAGGGCAAGGAACUA
RNAcentral lists this long non-coding RNA (1417 nucleotides) under Callithrix jacchus (white-tufted-ear marmoset). RNAcentral's name for it is "lncRNA (ENSCJAG00000070280.1)". The record is from RNAcentral. Lineage: Eukaryota; Metazoa; Chordata; Mammalia; Primates; Cebidae.